Rhodonellum psychrophilum GCM71 = DSM 17998 is the source of this 48-nucleotide transfer RNA. It matches the Rfam family "tRNA", at positions 1 to 46 of the family's 71-position model. From Rfam's summary of the family: Transfer RNA (tRNA) molecules are approximately 80 nucleotides in length. Their secondary structure includes four short double-helical elements and three loops (D, anti-codon, and T loops). NCBI's taxonomy places the organism in Bacteria, Pseudomonadati, Bacteroidota, Cytophagia, Cytophagales, Cytophagaceae. The record is from Rfam.
GAUUCCGUAGCUCAGCUGGUAGAGCAAUACACUUUUAAUGUAUGGGUC